RNAcentral lists this ribosomal RNA (291 nucleotides) under uncultured bacterium. RNAcentral describes it as "partial 16S ribosomal RNA". It matches the Rfam family "Bacterial small subunit ribosomal RNA", at positions 773 to 1060 of the family's 1533-position model. The record is from RNAcentral.
GUGGAUUAGAUACCCGGGUAGUCCACGCCCUAAACGAUGUCAACUAGGUGUUGGGUGGGUAAAACCAUUUAGUACCGGAGCUAACGCGUGAAGUUGACCGCCUGGGGAGUACGGCCGCAAGGUUAAAACUCAAAGGAAUUGACGGGGACCCGCACAAGCGGUGGAUGAUGUGGAUUAAUUCGACGCAACGCGAAAAACCUUACCUACCCUUGACAUGCCAGGAACUUGCCAGAGAUGGCUUGGUGCCCGAAAGGGAGCCUGGACACAGGUGCUGCACGGCCGUCGCCAACU